AUCGCUUCUCGGCCUUUUGGCUAAGAUCAUGUGUAGUAUCCGUUCUUAUCAGUUUAAAAUUCUAUGGUUUUGAAUAUAGUUUAAGUGUGUCUUCAAGGGUACAUGUGUUGAAAUUUAAUCCCCAUUGUGAGGUAUUAAGAGAAUGAAAACUUAAUUCAACUCUC
This 164-nucleotide small nuclear RNA is filed under the name Castor canadensis (American beaver). RNAcentral describes it as "U2 spliceosomal RNA (ENSCCNG00000015241.1)". It matches the Rfam family "U2 spliceosomal RNA". Rfam says of the family: U2 is a small nuclear RNA (snRNA) component of the spliceosome (involved in pre-mRNA splicing). Complementary binding between U2 snRNA (in an area lying towards the 5' end but 3' to hairpin I) and the branchpoint sequence (BPS) of the intron results the bulging out of an unpaired adenosine, on the BPS, which initiates a nucleophilic attack at the intronic 5' splice site, thus starting the first of two transesterification reactions that mediate splicing. Lineage: Eukaryota; Metazoa; Chordata; Mammalia; Rodentia; Castoridae. The record is from Rfam by way of RNAcentral.